This 650-nucleotide ribosomal RNA is filed under the name Sphingomonas sp. HPC788. RNAcentral describes it as "bacterial SSU rRNA". It matches the Rfam family "Bacterial small subunit ribosomal RNA", at positions 32 to 726 of the family's 1533-position model. Lineage: Bacteria; Pseudomonadati; Pseudomonadota; Alphaproteobacteria; Sphingomonadales; Sphingomonadaceae. The record is from RNAcentral.
GACGCUNUUCGAUGCCUAAUNNAUGCAAGUCGAACAGAACUUCNGNACUAGNGGCCCACGGGUGCGUAACGCGUGGGAAUCUGCCCUUGGGUUCGGAAUAACGUCGGGAAACUGACGCUAAUACCGGAUGAUGACGUAAGUCCAAAGAUUUAUCGCCCAGGGAUGAGCCCGCGUAGGAUUAGCUAGUUGGUGAGGUAAAGGCUCACCAAGGCGACGAUCCUUAGCUGGUCUGAGAGGAUGAUCAGCCACACUGGGACUGAGACACGGCCCAGACUCCUACGGGAGGCAGCAGUAGGGAAUAUUGGACAAUGGGGGCAACCCUGAUCCAGCAAUGCCGCGUGAGUGAUGAAGGCCUUAGGGUUGUAAAGCUCUUUUACCCGGGAUGAUAAUGACAGUACCGGGAGAAUAAGCUCCGGCUAACUCCGUGCCAGCAGCCGCGGUAAUACGGAGGGAGCUAGCGUUGUUCGGAAUUACUGGGCGUAAAGCGCACGUAGGCGGCGAUUUAAGUCAGAGGUGAAAGCCCGGGGCUCAACCCCGGAAUAGCCUUUGAGACUGGAUUGCUUGAAUCCCGGGAGAGGUGAGUGGAAUUCCGAGUGUAGAGGUGAAAAUUCGUAGAUAUUCGGAAAGAACACCAGUGGCGAAAGGCGGCU